GGGUCCUUAGCUCAGCGGUUAGAGCAGGCGGCUCAUAACCGCUUGGUCGCUGGUUCGAUUCCAGCAGGACCCA
This 73-nucleotide transfer RNA is filed under the name Candidatus Moraniibacteriota bacterium. RNAcentral describes it as "tRNA-Ile". It matches the Rfam family "tRNA". Rfam says of the family: Transfer RNA (tRNA) molecules are approximately 80 nucleotides in length. Their secondary structure includes four short double-helical elements and three loops (D, anti-codon, and T loops). Further hydrogen bonds mediate the characteristic L-shaped molecular structure. tRNAs have two regions of fundamental functional importance: the anti-codon, which is responsible for specific mRNA codon recognition, and the 3' end, to which the tRNAs corresponding amino acid is attached (by aminoacyl-tRNA synthetases). tRNAs cope with the degeneracy of the genetic code in two manners: having more than one tRNA (with a specific anti-codon) for a particular amino acid; and 'wobble' base-pairing, i.e. permitting non-standard base-pairing at the 3rd anti-codon position. Lineage: Bacteria; Candidatus Moraniibacteriota. The record is from RNAcentral.